Molecule: long non-coding RNA, 857 nt
Organism: Arabidopsis lyrata subsp. lyrata
Lineage: Eukaryota; Viridiplantae; Streptophyta; Magnoliopsida; Brassicales; Brassicaceae
Exons: 2
Source: RefSeq, a predicted model, not a curated record
AAGAGCUCUAACUAGACUAACCCAUAUCUUUUUGACAAAGACAUUCUAACCACUUUUUUCAACAUAUUAACAAAAAUGCCAUUAUGAAUUAUUUUUAAUAAAAAGUAAACUAAAAAGAAAAAAUUAUUAAAAUCUAAAAUUCAUGUUUUCUUUUUCACAUUUUUCUCUCGACACUUUACUUCUCUCUUCCUCCAAAACCUAGCCGCCACCUCUCUUCUAAAUUCCGUUCGCCGUAACUCCGACCGCUGCGCUUCCGUCCAGCUUUGUCCACCAGUACCUGUCGCUUCAUCUUUCUCCUCUCUUGUCCUCUCCACCGCUUCUCCCUUUUCCGCUGGAAACUAUCGCUUCUCUCUUCUCUGCCGCUUCUACUUCAUCUUCUUAGGCUUCGCCGCCAGCAUCUAUGUUGGAUUCCGUCACCAACAGCAGCAACGUUGAGGAUUCGGGAGAAGAAAAAGAGUGCCUAGCCGUAGGAUGGCAGUUUGAUGGACUUAACGAUGGGAACAUUCAGGCAUUGCGGGAGAGAUUAGGAGCUGAGAUGUUUGAGGAAGUUCCACUGACGGGAGACAUAGCAUUGACUAAUCCAUUGCCUCGUCGUGCAGAGUUCAAGAUCCCUUAUCUCAAUGAUCACUCAGAAUGAGUGUCUUUAUGAUAUGGUCGUGGUUGCAUUUGGUUUUGAGUCAGAUGUUGCAAGUUUUCUUAUUUAGGAAUGUUAUUGUUUCCACAGAUUUUUUUUGGUGUGAACCAGUUGUUGCAGCUGUUACCACCGACUUUUUUGGUGUGAACCAGUUAUUUUUCCUGAGUGUUAUUGUAACCACAUACUUUUAUUAGAACAUGUAAGACUUGAAUUCUUAGAGAUA